GACGAACGCUGGCGGCGUGCUUAACACAUGCAAGUCGAACGGUGAAGCGCCUUCCUUUUUGGUGGGUGUGGAUGAGUGGCGAACGGGUGAGUAACACGUGAGUAACCUGCCCCCUUCUUCUGGAUAACCGCAUGAAAGUGUGGCUAAUACGGGAUAUUCUGGGUCUGUCGCAUGAUGGGUCUGGGAAAGAUAUUGUUUCGGUGGGGGAUGGGCUCGCGGCCUAUCAGCUUGUUGGUGGGGUGAUGGCCUACCAAGGCGGUGACGGGUAGCCGGCCUGAGAGGGUGGACGGUCACACUGGGACUGCGACACGGCCCAGACUCCUACGGGGGGCAGCAGUGGGGAAUAUUGCACAAUGGGCGCAAGCCUGAUGCAGCGACGCCGCGGGAGGGAUGGAGGCCUGCGGGUUGUGAACCUCUUUCGCCAGUGAAGCAGGCCUGCCUCGUUUGUGGGUGGGUUGACGGUAGCUGGAUAAGAAGCGCCGGCUAACUACGUG
This 494-nucleotide ribosomal RNA is filed under the name uncultured bacterium. Its description in RNAcentral is "partial 16S ribosomal RNA". It matches the Rfam family "Bacterial small subunit ribosomal RNA", at positions 28 to 507 of the family's 1533-position model. The record is from RNAcentral.